UUCGAUGAUGAUGAGAUAUCAUAAUCUCGUUAAUCUGAUUUAACAUGAGGAUAAUUAAUCUCAUCCAUUCAUUUGUAUCUGAGA
Cannabis sativa is the source of this 84-nucleotide small nucleolar RNA. RefSeq annotates it as small nucleolar RNA U30. The transcript has a single exon. NCBI's taxonomy places the organism in Eukaryota, Viridiplantae, Streptophyta, Magnoliopsida, Rosales, Cannabaceae. The record is from RefSeq and is a predicted model, not a curated record.